Molecule: ribosomal RNA, 253 nt
Filed under: uncultured bacterium
Lineage: Bacteria
Description: partial 16S ribosomal RNA
Rfam family: Bacterial small subunit ribosomal RNA
Source: RNAcentral
UACGUAGGGUGCAAGCGUUAAUCGGAAUUACUGGGCGUAAAGCGUGCGCAGGCGGUCCGUUAAGACAGAUGUGAAAUCCCCGGGCUUAACCUGGGAACUGCAUUUGUGACUGGCGGACUCGAGUAUGGCAGAGGGGGGUAGAAUUCCACGUGUAGCAGUGAAAUGCGUAGAGAUGUGGAGGAAUACCGAUGGCGAAGGCAGCGCCCUGGGCCAAUACUGACGCUCAUGCACGAAAGCGUGGGGAGCAAACAGG